CGGACGGGUGAGUAAUGUCUGGGAAACUGCCUGGUGGAGGGGGAUAACUACUGGAAACGGUAGCUAAUACCGCAUAACGUCGCAAGACCAAGAGGGGACCUUCGGGCCUCUUGCCAUCGGAUGUGCCCAGAUGGGAUUAGCUAGUAGGUGGGGUAACGGCUCACCUAGGCGACGAUCCCUAGCUGGUCUGAGAGGAUGACCAGCCACACUGGAACUGAGACACGGUCCAG
This 230-nucleotide ribosomal RNA is filed under the name uncultured bacterium. Its description in RNAcentral is "partial 16S ribosomal RNA". It matches the Rfam family "Bacterial small subunit ribosomal RNA", at positions 99 to 334 of the family's 1533-position model. The record is from RNAcentral.